RNAcentral lists this long non-coding RNA (1308 nucleotides) under Sus scrofa (pig). RNAcentral describes it as "lncRNA (ENSSSCG00025029484.1)". Lineage: Eukaryota; Metazoa; Chordata; Mammalia; Artiodactyla; Suidae. The record is from RNAcentral.
CCCCGAGGCUCCACCUUCCUGAGAGAUGUACCAUAUAAAGUGUUCUUGUAUGAUAACCACCAAAAUCUGGUCUAAAUCAUCUUAUUCCUAAUGAGGGAAGGAAUAUACUGAAGCCUGAGAAAGUCUGAGAAAACUUCCUAUAUAAAGAGGAAGGGUGUGUGGGUGUGGGUGUGUGUGUACGCAGACAAUAGGAAGCCACUGAUGUUUUUUGCACAAAGGAACAGCAGGAAUGAAAAAAUGUUUUAAGAAGAUUAUCUAGCAGUGGUAUACAAAUUCACUGAAAUGGUGUACAGAUUAAAGUAAAAAUUAUUUCAAAUCAUUAUGCAGCCAUGAACAAUUACUACACAUAAUUGCAUUUACAGAUGUGGGAGAGCGAACAUACAGAUGAAGUACAAAAGAAGCAGGCUACAAAACAAGGGAGAGGACAGAAUCAUCUUCCGUAAGAAAUUGUUCACAUUUUUACUUGUGGGAGUAUUUAGAUGUGUAGCUACCAGAGUAAAGUUUAGGAGAUUAAAUAUCAGAGCUGUAACAGGAAUGCUAUCUGAGUGGUGAAACGUGAUUUUUCUCUUCUUUCUGUCUCUUUGUUUAUAUCUGUAUUUUCUAAUUUUUAUUCCACCAUGAAUAUGAGCCACUUGGGUAAUUUUUGUAAAUCUCCUCCCAAGAAGUAAAGAGCCCAUUUAUUGAUAUUAAAGAGGACAGGAAGCGGUGGUGAGGAUCUGGCCGCUGGCAGUGGCAGUGAGAGUGGAAAAUAGGAAGCAGAGUUGAGAGCAAUUAUGGCGGAAGUGCUGACGGAAGCGGGUGGGUGACUGGGAGAGGAACUGAAGGGAAACCAGAAAUCUGGGUGACACCCCUGGAUUUCCAGCCUAAGUAAGCAGGCGCCAUGGCUAGAAAUGAGACGGUGUGGAUGGCACUUAGCUUGGAGGAGAUCAUUUCCUCUUAGACCUGGUGUGUUUGAGAUGGUGACAGUCAUCCAAGAGAGACUGAAGUCAAGGGAAAGGCUGGGGCUCCAGGAGGUAGGUGCCCAGCUGUCCCGUCAGCAUUCCGCUCCCAGUGCCUAGAUCAACCAACGCCCAGUGCACAGAAGGCCUAUGACGCAUGUCUGGGAAGUGGGGGACCCGAGCCCUCUGUGGUGACAGCUCAAGUCGAUGAGAGGUUGGAACACCCAAGGGGGAGAAUGAGACAAGCAGGCCUGAAACUUGGGAAACACUUCACUGAAGUGUGGGCGGGAGCAAAACAGAUGCAAAACAAGAACAAUGCAACCUUCCUGAAACCAAGGUCGGGGGAGGGUUGCAAAAUAGAAAAGAGGAC